AUUAUUUUAAGAUUAUUUUUUAUUGUUGAAAAAAUUAAAAAUAAAUUGUUUUUAACAAAAAUUAAAAUUUAUAAUAUUUCAUUUUUUGGUUUUUUGUUUUAAAUUAAAAUAAUAAAUAUGGGGGAAAAAAAAAUUUUGUUAUAAAUUAUAUUAGUUUAUUUUAAUUAAAAAUAUUUUUUAUUAAAUUUGUUUUUUUUAUUUUUUUAUAAAAAAUAUUAAUUUAAUUAUUAUUAUUGAGUUUAAUUUAGUUAUUUUUAAAAAAAUUUUGUAUAAAAUAAAUUUGAUAAUAAAUGUUUUUUAAAUUCUUUGGGGGUUUAGUUUAUGAUUUUUUGUUUCUGCUCAUUGUUAAAUAAAAGCACUUUUAGCGUGAUUGGCCAAAGGUAA
Molecule: ribosomal RNA, 384 nt
Filed under: Meloidogyne enterolobii
Lineage: Eukaryota; Metazoa; Nematoda; Chromadorea; Rhabditida; Meloidogynidae
Description: partial 16S ribosomal RNA
Source: RNAcentral